CUAGCAACCUAAAAUCCUCUCUCUUCAGCUUUUCCUCUCCAGAUUCAUUUCCCCCGACUAGGAAGAAGUCCAACCGGUCUACAUCCUCGCUCCGGCGGUUGACGAGUAGUGCAUGAACGAGAUGCCUGUAGGCCAGUUCUUACAAGAGUCAGUGGUGAAUUUGUUAGACGACAUACUACGAAACUACAUCGUCUCGGUGAUCACAAGGGUUCGCCCCAUGCUAGCUCUUGCGGGUCUUCCAGCCCGGCUGCUUGGUGGAGGUACUAUGCCCAGUAGGGGAACAAUCCAAGUUAUGAAAUUAAAGCCAUUGAUAGGCUUGUAGGUGACUAAACCUAUAUGCCUUAGUUUUAUUUUAAUGGUUCUAAAAAUAGUUUGAAUGGUCCUGCUGUCUUUGUGUUCUCGACCACCCCAUGAAGCUUCAAUAUUUAUGGAAGUUGUUUGUUAUGGUGUAUCUUAUUUUUAAUGGAUCUUUUCAAUCAAAUCGCCAUUUUUUGGAA
This is a long non-coding RNA of Salvia hispanica, 497 nucleotides long. RefSeq lists it as uncharacterized. The record is from RefSeq and is a predicted model, not a curated record. NCBI's taxonomy places the organism in Eukaryota, Viridiplantae, Streptophyta, Magnoliopsida, Lamiales, Lamiaceae.